Molecule: ribosomal RNA, 305 nt
Filed under: uncultured bacterium
Lineage: Bacteria
Description: bacterial SSU rRNA
Rfam family: Bacterial small subunit ribosomal RNA
Source: RNAcentral
UGCCUACGGGACGCAGCAGUGAGGAAUAUUGGUCAAUGGCCGAGAGGCUGAACCAGCCAAGUCGCGUGAGGGAUGACGGCCCUACGGGUUGUAAACCUCUUUUGUCGGGGAGCAAGACCCGCCUCGUGCAGGCGGAGCGAGAGUACCCGAAGAAAAAGCAUCGGCUAACUCCGUGCCAGCAGCCGCGGUAAUACGUAGGGGGCAAGCGUUAUCCGAAUUUACUGGGUGUAAAGGGAGCGUAGGUGGCAAGGCAAGUCAGAUGUGAAAACCCGGGGCCCAACCCCGGGCGUGCAUUUGAAACUGUC